Molecule: ribosomal RNA, 253 nt
Filed under: uncultured bacterium
Lineage: Bacteria
Description: partial 16S ribosomal RNA
Rfam family: Bacterial small subunit ribosomal RNA
Source: RNAcentral
UACGGAGGGUGCAAGCGUUGUUCGGAAUCAUUGGGCGUAAAGAGCGCGUAGGCGGUCCGGUAAGUCAGCUGUGAAAGUCAAGGGCUCAACCCUUGAAAGCCGGUUGAUACUGUCGGGCUAGAGUCCGGAAGAGGCGAGUGGAAUUCCCGGUGUAGCGGUGAAAUGCGCAGAUAUCGGGAGGAAUACCGAUGGCGAAGGCAGGUCUCUGGGCUGACACUGACGCUCAUGCACGAAAGCGUGGGGAGCAAACAGG